This 1536-nucleotide long non-coding RNA is filed under the name Mytilus galloprovincialis (Mediterranean mussel). The record is from RNAcentral. Lineage: Eukaryota; Metazoa; Mollusca; Bivalvia; Mytilida; Mytilidae.
CUCGAUCGGACGCCUAACGGAUAAAAAAAAAGUUAUCCGUUGACAAAAUUUUUAUCUGUUGGGAGUCCGUUGGUUUACUAACGGACAUGUAACGAAUGCCUAACGGACACACAACGGACAUUGAACGUACGUGAAACGGAUACGUACCGGACAGAACGGACGUCGAACGUACAUCCAACGGACGAGUACCGGAUAAAACGGACACCUAACGGAAGCGUAACGGAUAAAACGGAUGAACAAAAUAAUCUGAAAAUUAAAGGCAAUAAACCAUCUAAAAAUUUAAGGCAAUAAACCAUCUGAAAAUUAAAAGCAAUAAACCAUCUGAAAUUAAAGCAAUAAACCACAUACACGUGACCUUAAAAUGAUUGUAUCUAGUACAUGUAUAUAUGUUAUAAUAUUUGCUUCUGGGAAAGUGUGGUCAGUAGGACAGGUAUCAAGGUCACACGUACCAAACAAAUAGAACAAUUUAUCCGAUUCUUUUUUACGUUUUUACACACGAGGGUCACUUUAGUUAACAGGUUUAGUUGAUUUUAUUUUGUAUUGCGUCUUGUUUAGCAUGAUAUGUGUGCAAAUAUAGAGCUACUCUGAUUAAAAAAAAUCAAGGUAGAAGCAGUGUGGUAAUUCAGUCUUAUAGAGUUUAAGUUGAUUUUCUGAAUUUGUUUAUAUUAUGUACCUCUGGUAUGAAAACGGAUAAUGUGUUAUACGGAACUCUUCAUCCGUACUGCAUGCUACGAUAUUUUGCUCCAGAAGCAAGGUGUCUAAGUGUAAUUGCUAACUUGAGUCCUGGUUCCAGUGGAUUUCUGUAAAAGGUAUUCUGCUUGGCUAUGCGAGGUCCAACUUGCAAUAUCUCGUCGAACAUCUCUGUGGGCAUUCGAAGGAAGUGUACAAAGGACUGCCGAUCCUCCCGCCUAAGUUCGGUCAUGAGUUGGUCAUAUAGACCAAAACUGCAUCGUCUUUCAGGACUAAGCCAUGGUCGUGUCCACCAUCUCCUUUGUCUUCUCCUUCUUCUCCUUUCGACAGCUAUAAGGUUUAUUUUUGCUACAUUUAAGUUGAGUCUGGCCUGAAUAAGGGCUGUUUGGUAGCGAAGACGUGCUCUUACUCCAAGAUCCAUCACGAAUAAUAAAUAUUCAUGACACUCAAGAAAAUCUGACAUACCAAUUAUUGGCAUUUCUAACGCGAAAUUUCAAUUGGCAUUUGUCCGUUUUACAUCCGGUAGGCAUCCGUUUUAUCCGUUAUCCUUCCGUUAAUGUCCGUUUCACAUCCGUUUUAUCCGUUAGGCGUCCGUUAGGCGUCCGGUAGACGUCCGUUGGUGAAUUGGUCUACCGGAUCUCCAACGGAUGCAUAACGGACACGUAACGGAUACAAAACGGACGAGUACCGUACAAAACGGACGCCUAACGGACGUUCAACGGACAUUUUAUCCGUUGGACGUCCGUUCAAAGUUUUGAACAUGCUCAAAAUUUUCCACCGGACAGAACGGACGUCAACGGAUAAAACGGACGCUUAACGGACAUGCAACGGAUAUGGACGGACGCC